GACGAACGCUGGCGGCGUGCUUAACACAUGCAAGUCGAACGGAAAGGCCUCUUUCGGGGGGUACUCGAGUGGCGAACGGGUGAGUAACACGUGAGUAACCUGCCCUUGACUUUGGGAUAACUUCAGGAAACUGGGGCUAAUACCGGAUAGGAGCUCCUGCUGCAUGGUGGGGGUUGGAAAGUUUCGGCGGUUGGGGAUGGACUCGCGGCUUAUCAGCUUGUUGGUGGGGUAGUGGCUUACCAAGGCUUUGACGGGUAGCCGGCCUGAGAGGGUGACCGGCCACAUUGGGACUGAGAUGCGGCCCAGACUCCUACGGGAGGCAGCAGUGGGGAAUAUUGCACAAUGGGUGGAAGCCUGAUGCAGCAACGCCGCGUGCGGGAUGACGGCCUUCGGGUUGUAAACCGCUUUCGCUCAUGACGAAGCUUUGUGUGACGGUAGUGGGUAAAGAAGCACCGGCUAACUACGUG
RNAcentral lists this ribosomal RNA (467 nucleotides) under uncultured bacterium. RNAcentral's name for it is "partial 16S ribosomal RNA". It matches the Rfam family "Bacterial small subunit ribosomal RNA", at positions 28 to 507 of the family's 1533-position model. The record is from RNAcentral.